This 404-nucleotide ribosomal RNA is filed under the name Actinomycetes bacterium. RNAcentral describes it as "Actinobacteria bacterium partial 16S ribosomal RNA". It matches the Rfam family "Bacterial small subunit ribosomal RNA", at positions 355 to 776 of the family's 1533-position model. The record is from RNAcentral. Lineage: Bacteria; Bacillati; Actinomycetota; Actinomycetes.
UGGGGAAUAUUGGACAAUGGGCGCAAGCCUGCUCCAGCCAUGCCGCGUGAGUGAUGAAGGCCCUAGGGUUGUAAAGCUCUUUCACCGGUGAAGAUAAUGACGGUAACCGGAGAAGAAGCCCCGGCUAACUUCGUGCCAGCAGCCGCGGUAAUACGAAGGGGGCUAGCGUUGUUCGGAUUUACUGGGCGUAAAGCGCACGUAGGCGGACUUUUAAGUCAGGGGUGAAAUCCCGGGGCUCAACCCCGGAACUGCCUUUGAUACUGGAAGUCUUGAGUAUGGUAGAGGUGAGUGGAAUUCCGAGUGUAGAGGUGAAAUUCGUAGAUAUUCGGAGGAACACCAGUGGCGAAGGCGACUCACUAGACCAUUACUGACGCUGAGAUGCGAAAGCGUGGGGAGCAAACAGG